GGAGACGCUAGGCGGUAGGCUUAUACCUGCACGUCUAGCGCCCCGCAUGGGGAGCGGCAGACGGGUGAGUAGCGCGUGGGAAUCUACCCAGCUCUACGGAAUAACCCAGGGAAACUUGGACUAAUACCGUAUACGUCCUUCGGGAGAAAGAUUUAUCGGAGUUGGAUGAGCCCGCGUUGGAUUAACUAGUUGGUGGGGUAAAGGCCUACCAAGGCGACGAUCCAUAGCUGGUCUGAGAGGAUGAUCAGCCACACUGGGACUGAGACACGGCCCAGACUCCUACGGGAGGCAGCAGUGGGGAAUAUUGGACAAUGGGCGCAAGCCUGAUCCAGCCAUGCCGCGUGAGUGAUGAAGGCCCUAGGGUUGUAAAGCUCUUUGGCGGUGAAGAUAAUGACGGUAACCGUAGAAGAAGCCCCGGCUAACUUCGUGCCAGCAUCCUCGGUAAUACGAAGGGGGCUAGCGUUGUUCGGAAUUACUGGGCGUAAAGCGCACGUAGCGGAUCAUCAUUAGGGGUGAAAUCCCAGGGCUCAACCCUGGAACUGCCUCUAAUACUGCCAUCUGGAUUUCCAGAGAGGUGAGUGGAAUUUCCAGGGAGAGGUGAAAUUUCUAAAAAUUCCGAAGAAACUGGAACGG
Molecule: ribosomal RNA, 633 nt
Filed under: Pseudaminobacter sp. HPC 1015
Lineage: Bacteria; Pseudomonadati; Pseudomonadota; Alphaproteobacteria; Hyphomicrobiales; Phyllobacteriaceae
Description: bacterial SSU rRNA
Rfam family: Bacterial small subunit ribosomal RNA
Source: RNAcentral